ACUGUUUUGACGGAUGACGAGGAGGAAUGAGGCUCGUGGAAAGAAACGACGUGUAUUGAAUUAACACGCGGACCCAGAGUGCUGUGUACGUUCAUAGAAUACUUUGAAUAUUUAUAGGAGUGACUCUUUGCGCUAAUGGCUCUGUUAUCAUUUGGUAUCAAGGGUGGUGGGAACAUGGGGACGAAAGAGGGACACGCUCUAAAAUCAACGAAACGUAUUUUUUUUUUAUUCUUCCGACGGCACACAGUCGCGCCUACGAGGGACGGCAAUGAGGGAUGAGACAAGUUCGCUUUCGAUGGAAACUAUGCGUUGGCGAUGAUAUAAUAGCAACAUUUACUCGUGUCUCGCAUCUUCGUUUCGCGUCUGGUAGAUUUUUCGCGCACGAGCUUACUAAUCGCGGUUUUAAUAGAAAUUCACGUUGCUUCCUUUGGUGUAAAUAAAAGUGGCGAUAACGACGCUCCGCAUUAGCUUAUGAGAAGUAUGUCUCUAAUCUCUGUUGAACACGUAUCGUCGAAUCAUCUGAUAUUAAAAUAACUGUAAAAUGGAUUGUGUAUAUUACUUCGUCAUGGCAUAUAAAAAUUAUUGAUGAACGUAUAAACUAAUGAGUGUUUAAACACUUCGUCUGUAAACGUGGGUAGUUCGUGUCCGAGCAAAAACAAUUUCGGUUUAUACCUGGGAAAUAGGGGAAGGGCGGACGGGUCCCGUAUAUCCCUAAAAACAGUUGUAUAGGAGGGGAAACUGACACCCAAGUUUCAGUAUUCUAGUACCUUCCAGGCAGUGGUGACGAGUGCGCAGAUUUCGAAGUGGACACGAACGACCCACGUUUACAGACGGCGUGUAGUAAACAGGUAAGUGAGUGACAUUUUUUUUGUUUUAACGUGGUUUUGGAAUUAGUGAUACAUUUAUUUUGUUUUAGUAUGUCUAAAAAAGUGUUUAGAAUUUUUUUUAGCAUUUUCAAAAUGGAGCAGCGAUCGGCUGAAGAAGUCACGCGUGUACUGCGUCAACGCUAAGAUAUUACAUAUUUUGGAGAUGAUGACAGCGACUAAAUGUAAUUAACUUUUUUUUUGUAUAAUAGAUGUAAGAUAUCUUUUUUAUGAAAAAAGAAAUACGUUUUUCCCUAAUAAAAUGUGUGAAUAGCAA
Molecule: long non-coding RNA, 1140 nt
Organism: Cephus cinctus (wheat stem sawfly)
Lineage: Eukaryota; Metazoa; Arthropoda; Insecta; Hymenoptera; Cephidae
Exons: 2
Source: RefSeq, a predicted model, not a curated record